AUAACUUCGGGAAACUGGAGCUAAUACCGGAUAAUAUUCGAACCGCAUGGUUCGAUAGUGAAAGGUGGUUUUGCUAUCACUUAUAGAUGGACCCGCGCCGUAUUAGCUAGUUGGUAAGGUAACGGCUUACCAAGGCGACAAUACGUAGCCGACCUGAGANGGGUGAUCGGCCACACUGGAACUGAGACACGGUCCAGACUCCUACGGGAGGCAGCAGCC
This 219-nucleotide ribosomal RNA is filed under the name uncultured Staphylococcus sp. RNAcentral's name for it is "partial 16S ribosomal RNA". It matches the Rfam family "Bacterial small subunit ribosomal RNA", at positions 143 to 355 of the family's 1533-position model. The record is from RNAcentral. Lineage: Bacteria; Bacillati; Bacillota; Bacilli; Caryophanales; Staphylococcaceae.